This 360-nucleotide transfer-messenger RNA is filed under the name Bacteroidota (CFB group bacteria). RNAcentral describes it as "SZUA-365 sp018224345 Standard tmRNA". It matches the Rfam family "transfer-messenger RNA". From Rfam's summary of the family: Bacterial tmRNA, also known as 10Sa RNA or SsrA, is named for its dual tRNA and mRNA-like properties. Its role is to liberate the mRNA from a stalled ribosome. To accomplish this part of the tmRNA is used as a reading frame that ends in a translation stop signal. The record is from RNAcentral. Lineage: Bacteria; Pseudomonadati. RNAcentral also lists the same sequence under 1 other name.
GGGGAUGCAAUGGUUUCGACGGGAAGUCGGGGUCAUGCAAACGCGUUCCGUGCCUGACGCAAGCACGUUAAUCCUGUGUCAAUUGGUAUAACUGCCAACUACGAUUACGCACUGGCGGCUUAAUUGACCGUCACGUCCCCCCGGAGGCUCGCCCGCCGGCUGAGGGGUAGGACGUCGCAACAGGUGGGCUAGGCACUCCAAGCGUUCGAGGCGGAGGCCGAAACACUUCUUCGAACUAGCAUUCAGACACAUCCUGUCCGUCGGGUAGUCAGAAUGCGAAACUUAAAAGACGGACUAUGAGCGUAGCAAGUUGCAGGUUCUGCUUUUCGGACGGGGGUUCGAUUCCCCCCAUCUCCACCA